This is a long non-coding RNA of Diprion similis, 144 nucleotides long. RefSeq lists it as uncharacterized. NCBI's taxonomy places the organism in Eukaryota, Metazoa, Arthropoda, Insecta, Hymenoptera, Diprionidae. The record is from RefSeq and is a predicted model, not a curated record. The transcript has 3 exons.
GAAUAUUGGUUAAGGGGUAACACCACUCUAGCGGCCGAAAAAAGGCCUAACUUUGACGAUUUAUCUUAGAAGUAUGGAAAAAGGUAAAGAAUUUUUUUUCAGAGAGUUUAUUUAACACAUAUUGAAUUAUGAAAUUAAAAAUGU